This 318-nucleotide long non-coding RNA is filed under the name Elaeis guineensis (African oil palm). RNAcentral describes it as "long non-coding RNA (EGUI_LNC058696)". Lineage: Eukaryota; Viridiplantae; Streptophyta; Magnoliopsida; Arecales; Arecaceae. The record is from RNAcentral.
UUGGGAUUCACGAUAGAGGGACUGAAUUACAUGUUAACUAUACCUAGAGGUUUAUUUCAGUUUUAUUGGGUUGCCACUAUAUACUGCUAGGUGUCACUGAUGGAUUAUGAGAGCUCACUAGAGUUGUUUUGGAUCAACAAUCCUUGAUUGAGUUAGAGUAAAAUUAUUUCGACUCAUUGAAAAGAGUUUCAAUGAUACAAUGAUAUAAAUCAUUAUAUAUCUCACUACUAGAUAGAAUUGAACCUAUGAGGUCACACAACAAAGGGAUCAUGUCUGAAAUAUUAGUAAUUGAGUUUAUGAAGUGUCAAUUGGGUUUAG